Saccostrea cuccullata (small rock oyster) is the source of this 596-nucleotide long non-coding RNA. RefSeq lists it as uncharacterized. The transcript is spliced from 5 exons. Lineage: Eukaryota; Metazoa; Mollusca; Bivalvia; Ostreida; Ostreidae. The record is from RefSeq and is a predicted model, not a curated record.
GCUGUAGAGUACAUUUCGAACAGCCAUCUCCAGGAUAUACUCUGAAGACAGUGAUGUGCAAGUUCAAGGUUUGCCUGUUAAAUUCUCACAUUAUCAUGCUGCCUAAUAGUACAUUUCAGCUGAAACAAAACAAAUUAUCUGAUGAAAGCUUCAACCACGAGAAUCUAAGAAAGGAUGUCAAGUCCAAAGAAAAGGCCAUAUAACAAAUGGUUGCUGAAUUCAUGAAGACUAGCUGGGAUGAUACAGUACUUUUCUACUCAUAUGAACCAUAUCUAAACAUCAUUUGAGGAUCCUUUUCUCAGAAAAAAAAAUUCGCAUAUUCAAAGACUCUAUAGUUCAUGUUUAUUUGUACGUUGUUUAACAUUCUUCUUGAGAAACUUUCACUCAUAUGGGAAUGCCAACAUUUGUCGGUGGAGAGCUGCAAAUUUUGUCCUUUACUUGGCACACAUGGCUAAUUGAACAAUGAGGGAUCUUUUUGGUACCUACUGCAACACAGCACCUCUGUAUAUACAGUCUCAUCUAUGUCUGACUGUGGGAUUUUGAACCAGCAAUUUAUGGAUCAACUCCUUACUCAUUAUACUCUCGAGCAGAUGCUC